AUUGAACGCUGGCGGCAUGCCUUACACAUGCAAGUCGAACGGCAGCACGGGAGCAAUCCUGGUGGCGAGUGGCGAACGGGUGAGUAAAGUAUUGGAACGUGCCCAGUCGUGGGGGAUAACGUAGCGAAAGUUACGCUAAUACCGCAUACGAUCUAUGGAUGAAAGCGGGGGAUCGCAAGACCUCGCGCGAUUGGAGCGGCCGAUAUCAGAUUAGGUAGGUGGUGGGGUAAAGGCUCACCAAGCCGACGAUCUGUAGCUGGUCUGAGAGGACGACCAGCCACACUGGGACUGAGACACGGCCCAGACUCCUACGGGAGGCAGCAGUGGGGAAUUUUGGACAAUGGGCGAAAGCCUGAUCCAGCCAUGCCGCGUGCAGGAUGAAGGCCUUCGGGUUGUAAACUGCUUUUGUACGGAACGAAAAGGUUUGGCCUAAUAAGCUGAGCUCAUGACGGUACCGUAAGAAUAAGCACCGGCUAACUACGUGCCAGCCGCCGCUGUAA
Molecule: ribosomal RNA, 500 nt
Filed under: uncultured bacterium
Lineage: Bacteria
Description: partial 16S ribosomal RNA
Rfam family: Bacterial small subunit ribosomal RNA
Source: RNAcentral